RNAcentral lists this ribosomal RNA (426 nucleotides) under uncultured prokaryote. RNAcentral describes it as "bacterial SSU rRNA". It matches the Rfam family "Bacterial small subunit ribosomal RNA", at positions 355 to 796 of the family's 1533-position model. The record is from RNAcentral.
UGGGGAAUCUUAGACAAUGGGGGAAACCCUGAUCUAGCCAUGCCGCGUGUGUGACGAAGGCCCUAGGGUCGUAAAGCACUUCUGAACGAGGGACGAAAGAUGACGGUACCUCGCUAAAAGCACCGGCUAACUCCGUGCCGGCAGCCGCGGUAAUACGGAGGGUGCAAGCGUUAUCCGGAAUCACUGGGCGUAAAGGGCACGUAGGCGGUCUAGUAAGUCCGAUGUUAAAGCGUGGGGCUCAACCCCAUCACGGCGUUGGAUACUGCUAGGCUUGACGACUGGAGAGGUGAGUAGAAUUACCAGUGUAGCGGUGGAAUGCGUAGAUACUGGUAGGAAUACCUAUUGCGAAGGCAGCUCACUGGACAGUACGUGACGCUGAGGUGCGAAAGUGUGGGGAGCAAACCGGAUUAGAUACCCCCGUAGUCC